Piliocolobus tephrosceles (Ugandan red Colobus) is the source of this 1527-nucleotide long non-coding RNA. NCBI's taxonomy places the organism in Eukaryota, Metazoa, Chordata, Mammalia, Primates, Cercopithecidae. The record is from Ensembl.
AUGAAACCACUUAUUACCUUCUUUUUGUUGCUACUAUUGCUAUUUAAGCAUAACUGUGCAUGCUUAAAUAAAUAUAUAAAACAUGCGGCAUAUAUAAAAUCUUACAAUAAAGUAAAUAAUUUGAUUCCAAACAAAAAUGUAAGAAAAUAUGUAUGGAAAGGUGUAUGGAAAGAUGUAGGGAGAGAUGUAUGGUGUGGAUUAAAACCAGAGAGAGUGAAAAAAAAAAAUUUAAGAAACAAAAUAAAAUUAUUCCAAAAUGAGUCCUCUCCUAUUUUAGUUGAAAAUAAAAAAAUAAUUAACGUUGCUAUUUUUGGUAGUACAGGUAGUAUAGGAACCAACACACUUAAAAUUAUAAGAGAUUGCAAUGAGAUAAAAAAACAUUUCCAAGUUCAAGCUUUAUAUGCAAAUAAAAAUGUCAAACAUGUUUAUGAACAGGCAAAAGAAUUUUUACCAAAAUAUAUAUGUAUACAUGAUGAAACAAAAUAUGAAGAAUUAAAGGAGUUAUUAAAAAAUAUAAAAAAUUAUAAUCCUAUUUUAUUAUAUGGUGACAAAGGGAUGAAGCAAAUGUGUCAAAGUAACGAUAUUGAUAAAAUAGUUUUAGGUAUAGAUUCAUUUCAAGGAUUAUAUGCUACUAUUCAUGCAUUAAAAAAUAAUAAAAUAAUUACAUUAGCUAAUAAAGAAUCUAUUGUUUCUGCUGGAUUUUAUUUAAAAAAGUUAUUAACAAUUCAUAAAAAUUCAACUAUAAUUCCAGUAGAUUCAGAACAUAGUGCUAUAUUUCAAUGUUUAGAUAAUAAUAAAGUAUUAAAAACUAAAUGUUUACAAGAUAAUUUUUCAAAAAUAAAUCGAAUAAAUAAAAUUAUUUUAUGUGCUUCUGGUGGUCCAUUUCAAAAUUUAACUAUAGAUCAAUUAAAAAAAGUCAAAUCAGGACAAGCUUUAGAACACCCAAAGUGGUCUAUGGGACAAAAAAUAACAAUAGAUUCAGCUACUAUGAUGAAUAAAGGAUUAGAAGUUAUUGAAGCACAUUAUUUAUUUGAUAUACCUUAUAAUAAUAUACAAAUACUUGUACACAAAGAGUGUAUUAUACAUUCAGCAGUAGAAUUCUUUGAUAAAUCAGUUUUAUGUCAAAUGUAUUACCCUGAUAUGCAAAUACCCAUUUUAUAUGCAUUAACAUGGCCAGAUAGAAUACAAACAAAUUUAAAACCAUUAAAUUUAACUGAAGUUUCUCCUUUAACUUUUAAAGAACCAUCAUUAGAUCAUUUCCCAUGUAUUCAAUUAGCUUAUCAAGCAGGAAAACAAGGAAAUUUAUAUCCUACUGUCCUAAAUUCCGCUAAUGAAGUAGCCAAUCAUUUAUUUUUAAAAAAUCAAAUUACUUAUUUUGAUAUACCACAUAUUAUAUCUAGAGUAUUGGAAUCAUUUACUGUUCAAUCCAUUGCGGAAAAUUCGGAGGAUGUGUUUCAACAAAUUAUACAAACACAUGAAUGGGCCAAACAAAAGGCCAUGGAUAUUUACAAACAAAUUAAAACUUAA